This 498-nucleotide ribosomal RNA is filed under the name uncultured bacterium. RNAcentral describes it as "partial 16S ribosomal RNA". It matches the Rfam family "Bacterial small subunit ribosomal RNA", at positions 30 to 523 of the family's 1533-position model. The record is from RNAcentral.
AUUGAACGCUGGCGGCAUGCCUUACACAUGCAAGUCGAACAGUAACAGGUCUUCGCAUGCUGACGAGUGGCGAACGGGUGAGUAAUACAUCGGAACGUGCCCGAGAGUGGGGGAUAACGAAGCGAAAGCUUUGCUAAUACCGCAUACGAUCUCAGGAUGAAAGCAGGGGACCGCAAGGCCUUGCGCUCACGGAGCGGCCGCUGGCAGAUUAGGUAGUUGGUGGGAUAAAAGCUUACCAAGCCGACGAUCUGUAGCUGGUCUGAGAGGACGACCAGCCACACUGGGACUGAGACACGGCCCAGACUCCUACGGGAGGCAGCAGUGGGGAAUUUUGGACAAUGGGCGCAAGCCUGAUCCAGCCAUGCCGCGUGCAGGAUGAAGGCCUUCGGGUUGUAAACUGCUUUUGUACGGAACGAAAAGACUCUGGUUAAUACCUGGGGUCCAUGACGGUACCGUAAGAAUAAGCACCGGCUAACUACGUGCCAGCAGCCGCCGUAA